AUAAGUAAUAAUAUGAAUUUUCUUAAUGUAUAUAUAUGUGAAUAUUAUUAUAUUAUAUUUCUUUAUAUAUAAAAAGAAGUUUUAUAUUUAUUGAGUAUUUCUAUAAUAAUAUAUAUAUAUAUAUAUAUAUUUAUUAUUUUGUUUAUUAAUACAUUUUAAAACUCAUAAGUUAUAACAACCACUUUUAAACUAUAAUGUAUUUAAUAAAAUAUUUUAUAUUUAAUGAAAUAUACAUUAUGGUUUAAAAGCAUGUUAAAAAUAUUUAAUCAUUGUUAUAUAUUUUAUAAUAAUGAAAAAUAUUUUUUUCAUGUAAUUUUCUUUUCUUUACAUAAAUAUAAAAUUUUUAUAAUUAUGUAAAAGAAAAGAAAGAAUAUAAUAUUAUCAAAGUAUAUA
Molecule: ribosomal RNA, 393 nt
Filed under: Plasmodium reichenowi
Lineage: Eukaryota; Apicomplexa; Aconoidasida; Haemosporida; Plasmodiidae
Description: eukaryotic LSU rRNA
Source: RNAcentral